RNAcentral lists this ribosomal RNA (241 nucleotides) under uncultured bacterium. Its description in RNAcentral is "partial 16S ribosomal RNA". It matches the Rfam family "Bacterial small subunit ribosomal RNA", at positions 15 to 235 of the family's 1533-position model. The record is from RNAcentral.
GAUCAUGGCUCAGGAUGAACGCUGGCGGCGUGCUUAACACAUGCAAGUCGAGCGAAGCACUUUACUUGGAUUUCUUCGGAAUGACGAGUAUUGUGACUGAGCGGCGGACGGGUGAGUAACGCGUGGGUAACCUGCCUCAUACAGGGGGGAUAACAGUUAGAAAUGACUGCUAAUACCGCAUAAGACCACAGCACCGCAUGGUGCAGGGGUAAAAACUCCGGUGGUACGAGAUGGACCCGCG